Drosophila busckii is the source of this 102-nucleotide non-coding RNA. The record is from Rfam. Lineage: Eukaryota; Metazoa; Arthropoda; Insecta; Diptera; Drosophilidae.
CAAAUAAUGAAUUUGGCAAGAUGUCGGAAUAGCUGAGAGCACAAAUAACAAAAUGCCAAUUAAUUUAUACAGCGGCUAUGCCUCAUCUAGUCAAUUGCAUUC